UACUGAAGAAGAGGGGG
This 17-nucleotide ribosomal RNA is filed under the name Hypogymnia sp. Hur 040036. RNAcentral describes it as "partial 18S ribosomal RNA". Lineage: Eukaryota; Fungi; Ascomycota; Lecanoromycetes; Lecanorales; Parmeliaceae. The record is from RNAcentral.